GGAAACGGGUGGUAAUGCCGGAUGCUCCGCACUGUCGCAUGAUGGUGUGGGAAAGGGUUUACCGGCAUGGGAUGGGGUCGCGUCCUAUCAGCUUGUUGGCGGGGUGAUGGCCUGCCAAGGCUUCGACGGGUAGCCGGCCUGAGAGGGCGACCGGCCACAUUGGGACUGAGAUACGGCCCAGACUCCUACGGGAGGCAGCAGUGGGGAAUAUUGCACAAUGGGCGAAAGCCUGAUGCAGCGACGCCGCGUGCGGGAUGACGGCCUUCGGGUUGUAAACCGCUUUUGAUUGGGAGCAAGCGAGAGUGAGUGUACCUUUCGAAUAAGCACCGGCUAACUACGUGCCAGCAGCCGCGGUAAUACGUAGGGUGCAAGCGUUAUCCGGAUUUAUUGGGCGUAAAGAGCUCGUAGGCGGUUCGUCGCGUCUGGUGUGAAAGUCCAUCGCUUAACGGUGGAUCGGCGCCGGGUACGGGCGGACUGGAGUGCGGUAGGGGAGACUG
This 497-nucleotide ribosomal RNA is filed under the name Bifidobacterium asteroides. RNAcentral's name for it is "bacterial SSU rRNA". It matches the Rfam family "Bacterial small subunit ribosomal RNA", at positions 152 to 663 of the family's 1533-position model. The record is from RNAcentral. Lineage: Bacteria; Bacillati; Actinomycetota; Actinomycetes; Bifidobacteriales; Bifidobacteriaceae.